This 424-nucleotide unclassified non-coding RNA is filed under the name Hevea brasiliensis (rubber tree). Lineage: Eukaryota; Viridiplantae; Streptophyta; Magnoliopsida; Malpighiales; Euphorbiaceae. The record is from RNAcentral.
AAGAAACUUGAAAAUCAAAUGCUUCUGGUGGUAGUUAUGGCAAUAAUGUUAGAGGCAUUGUUAUGUAAAUUAUGAUGCAGCAUCCAUUGAACUGCGUGAGUAUGUUCCAGUUGCUUAAUCAAACUGCUAAAAAAUAAAUAUACAAAUAAGAUUUGACCAAAUAAUGAUGGCUUCACUUGUAAUGUUCUGGGAGGUCCAUUCAGCUUGAUCUUCGUCAAACAAAUUCAGAAAGAAGCCUUUUCCAUUUCUUGUUGACAAUGGCUGGUCCCUUUUGGACUUUUAUGAGUGUUUGUGCCUUCAGGCCUCUACAAUUUAGCAUGUGCAAUGUUUAUUUCUCUCCUUGCCUGAUUUUAUCGUGAACUAAUGCUGAUAGAACUUUUUCUCUAAUACUUUGAAAUGCAGCAAUAUUUAUUGAAGGAGAAAG